UACAGAGGUCCCAAGCGUUGUUCGGAUUCACUGGGCGUAAAGGGUGCGUAGGUGGCCAGGUAAGUUUGGUGUGAAAGCUCGGAGCUUAACUCCGAAAAGUCAUUGAAUACUAUCUGGCUGGAGGGUCGGAGGGGAGACUGGAAUUCUCGGUGUAGCAGUGAAAUGCGUAGAUAUCGAGAGGAACACCAGUGGCGAAGGCGAGUCUCUGGACGACUCCUGACACUGAGGCACGAAAGCUAGAGGAGCAAACAGG
RNAcentral lists this ribosomal RNA (253 nucleotides) under uncultured bacterium. RNAcentral's name for it is "partial 16S ribosomal RNA". It matches the Rfam family "Bacterial small subunit ribosomal RNA", at positions 524 to 776 of the family's 1533-position model. The record is from RNAcentral.